RNAcentral lists this ribosomal RNA (356 nucleotides) under uncultured Gammaproteobacteria bacterium. RNAcentral describes it as "bacterial SSU rRNA". It matches the Rfam family "Bacterial small subunit ribosomal RNA", at positions 154 to 505 of the family's 1533-position model. Lineage: Bacteria; Pseudomonadati; Pseudomonadota; Gammaproteobacteria. The record is from RNAcentral.
AAACUCGAGCUAAUACCGCAUACGCCCUACGGGGGAAAGCGGGGGACCUUCGGGCCUCGCGCUAUUAGAUGAGCCUGCGUUGGGUUAGCUAGUUGGUGGGGUAAUGGCCUACCAAGGCGACGAUCCAUAGCUGGUCUGCGAGGAUGAUCAGCCACACCGGGACUGAGACACGGCCCGGACUCCUACGGUAGGCAGCAGUGGGGAAUAUUGCGCAAUGGGCGCAAGCCUGACGCAGCCCUGCCGCGUGUGUGAAGAAGGCCCUCGGGUUGAAAAGCACUUUCAAUUGAGAGGAAAGGCUCACGGCUAAUACGCGAGAGCUGUGACGUUACCUUUAUAAGAAGCACCGGCUAACUCCG